RNAcentral lists this long non-coding RNA (1074 nucleotides) under Ailuropoda melanoleuca (giant panda). Its description in RNAcentral is "lncRNA (ENSAMEG00000024344.1)". The record is from RNAcentral. Lineage: Eukaryota; Metazoa; Chordata; Mammalia; Carnivora; Ursidae.
GUUAGCUACCUGUGUCUAGGAGGGGGAAGUUCGGGGGGAGAGGCAACAAGCCUCAGUGCCCAAAACAGGCCGCCCGGCCGAGCAGGGCGGCGGGUCUCUCGGGAGCGGCGCCCGGAACUUCGAGGCUCGGGGGGGACGUCCCUGGCCCGACCGGGAGGCGAACCCUUCUCAAGGGCAAGGGGGGCCCGCCUUGGGCUCCGGCUCGGCCAAACCAGGCUCGGGCUCGAGCAAGCCGGGCCCCGCCGCGGGCAGGGCCGGGGGAGGGGAACAAAGGGGCUAAGCGGGUUAGUCCGCAGCAGCCCGGCCGACCUCACCCGGAGCCGGGGUCUCGCUCCCCGCACGCCGCCGGGCAUCCCGGGUCCCGGCCCCCGGCCUGGCCCUUCCUACCACCUAAGGCGCUUGCGCCUCCCCGUCCCUCAAGCUCUUACCCCGGCUUGUCGUCCCAAACCGCUCCGGUCCAGCUCCAAGCAGGCCGCGGGCAGAGCCAGGCCCGGCCGCGGCCCUCGAGUUACCAGGAAGCCGCAGGCCGCGCAGGUCGAGCCGGGCAAGCGGCACAGGAAAAGCCGCGCCUCGUCCCUCCCCUUCCUCCGCGGGGACCUGGUGACAGGGAAGCGAGAGGUUCCCCCCGACCGGCGGCAGCCAGCGCACGUCCGGUCCCCGGCACGCGGCUCUUCAGGCCCGCAGCUCACAGGCCCGCGCAGUGCUGCCAGCGGCGGCGGGGGGUGGCCGCGUCCAUCGCGAUCCCGGAGGGGGAAGGGAGGAGGGUCGGGCGAGAGCGGGGCGGGCAAGCUGCGGAGGGCAACCGAGCUCGGCGGAGGCGGAGCAAUCGACUCUCGCGGCAGCGACCCCACCGGCCGCCAGGUGGGGCGCUGCGGAGACCGGUCGGCCGGCGGCGCAGUAGCCCUAACCUGGGGCGCCAGGCUACGCGUGGCCGUCGCUAACAGGACGCUCUGGCCCUGCGGGCCUCGGACUCCCUUGUCAGCUGUCGCUUUUCUGCCGUACGCCCGCUCCCAGCACACCCGCACACUGGUGCACGCACGCUCAGCCUGUUUUGCACCGUGCCUACACACUUAG